RNAcentral lists this long non-coding RNA (281 nucleotides) under Lathyrus oleraceus (garden pea). RNAcentral's name for it is "Pisum sativum (pea) long non-coding RNA (PSAT_LNC015446)". The record is from RNAcentral. Lineage: Eukaryota; Viridiplantae; Streptophyta; Magnoliopsida; Fabales; Fabaceae.
AAGAGUUUAGAUGAAGAGUGCAUGAAACUCAAGGAAGAUAAAUUCCUUUAAUGACUUCAAAAAUCCUCAAAAUCCUUUUUUAGAACUCCAAGUUAUCACUAUCUCUUUCAAAUUCAGAGCCCCCAAAAAAGUAUCCCAAAAGCCUUAUUUAUUGCAAUUUCUGCGUGUCUGAGCAAUAUGAUAUCACACCCAAGGGUAUAUCGCGAUCAUGAUGUAACAUCAUCACACCCAUAAUAUCAGCAUCGCGACCGCGUGAAAAACAAAGGUGAAAUGGCUUUUUU